AAGUAUUGCUCGCCGGAGCAGUACUUAUCAGAGUCAUGCCAGCUCACCUUAGGCCUUGUGGUGAGUUGACAUGACUUUUUUUACU
RNAcentral lists this non-coding RNA (85 nucleotides) under unclassified sequences. The record is from RNAcentral.